UUCAUUCGAAUCAGACGAGGAAACUGUGUAUUGUGUAAUCUAAAACCCUAAUUUCUCUUCCUUUCACAAUCAUCCCGUUCGCCUUCUUUCUUCCUCCAUCGCCUGCGGCUGCCCUCUCCAUUACUUGUGUCCUUAAAAAGAGAAUUUGCUGGUGAUGUGGUGUUGAGGAUUCUCUGUUUCUCUGCACCUCCCAUACCCAGCAAGAUCGUAGACCAACCUUGCCCCUUUCCCGGAUGAUAAAUUCGUUUAUCGUCCCUGUCAAGGUUGGGAAAUUUCUACGUGAAUAUUCACUCUCUCUUUGCUUUUGGUUGAGUAGUUUUUUAUUGUAGUUUUAGGAUGUCGCGUCUCUAAUGGAUGCUCACUACUUAAUCGGGUUGAAAUUGAUUGUUAAUGGUGUUCGCGAGUAAUGUGGCGCCCCCCAGACUUAGUCAUGUAUCCUUCCUUGAUUUUAAUGGUUUGAUACAGUUACGAGUCUGGAAAAUUGACCGAGUCCAUCGUUACAGAUGUGUGAAACAAUUUGAGCGCACAUCUGCUCCAUGUGGUCUCUACAUGAUAUCAUUGAUUAAUUCUUCCCAGAUUUCCAGCUCAUAACAUUUCUUUAGCCAAUGAUUUUAUUCAGAAGUAUUCUCAAAGACGGUCCACAUUUGAUUUUAUACUUAAUCUUCCAAGUUCUUAACAUUUGUGAGGUGACCUUGAGUACAUGGUAGAUGAGUAUGUCAUUUGCAUCUUUUUCGAGGGGAUGUGGUGUCUCAUCCAAGUGAGGCUUCGCACGUUGUGAGGGGUAGCAUGAACUUUGAAGUUGUCAAGUUGACAAUGGAAGGGAACGACUUUGAAGAGUUGUCAUUAGGAAUUGUGUAUUAAUCAGGCCUUUUUAUCUGUUGAGCAGUGUAUUUUAGCCCUUUUCAUGGACAUCUAUACAUCAGAAAAAACACAUUAGACCCCAAUUAAGCACUAAUGGUUCGUCCAUUAUCACAUUAGUCCUCAGAAAAAUAACUUCAAUUGAUUUGAUUGUUUAUUUCCCAACUUCUGGAUGGCAUGAAGACCCAUACAUAAUCAUAUCAUUUUCUUCCAUUUCUCAAUUGGUGUAUCAUUAUCACGUCCACAUGGGUAUUUGGUCGGGGCAGGCAACAAAUAUACCAACUGCGGAGCAUAUUAUUUUACACAAUGUUUUGUUUUUUGUAGGGUCAUUAAAAUGGAUUCAGAGAAGAACUCGGAUGGAAAUGCUUGUCAUGUCUAUCACGUUUGUUAAUCUGAAAUCACUGAAUAUAUAAUCCAAAGAAUUCCAGAUUUCACUCUUUGUUGAA
Long non-coding RNA from Momordica charantia (bitter melon), 1304 nucleotides. RefSeq lists it as uncharacterized. The record is from RefSeq and is a predicted model, not a curated record. Lineage: Eukaryota; Viridiplantae; Streptophyta; Magnoliopsida; Cucurbitales; Cucurbitaceae.